This 270-nucleotide ribosomal RNA is filed under the name uncultured archaeon. Its description in RNAcentral is "partial 16S ribosomal RNA". It matches the Rfam family "Archaeal small subunit ribosomal RNA", at positions 477 to 747 of the family's 1478-position model. The record is from RNAcentral.
CUGCAGCCUGAGUGGUGGUCGAUAUUAUUGAGCCUAAAGCGUCCGUAGCCGGACUAGUAAAUUCUUGGGUAAAUCGGGCAGCUUAACUGUCCGACUUCCGAGGAGACUGCUGGUCUUGGGACUGGGAGAGGUCAGAGGUACUCCAGGGGUAGGGGCUAAAUCCUGUAAUCCUUGGGGGACCACCAGUGGCGAAGGCGUCUGACUAGAACGGAUCCGACGGUAAGGGACGAAGCCCUGGGGCGCAAACCGGAUUAGAUACCCGAGUAGUCC